UUCCCCUUUUGUUUAGCUAUUGCGAGUUGCAUACUAGCCCCGUUAAUGGCUGGAAGCUGCCUGUCCUGCUGGAGCAUGGGGAUGCACUCGGGAACCUUUCGCUCCGGGGGAGAAGCGCCCGUGUAACCCGGCCCCACGGGGACGCCCCGCGGCGCGAACUCUCUCUGCGCCGGCCGCCUCGCGUCAGUCCCGGGAGCGCUCCUGCGUCGCCCCUUCCCCAGCCGCUGCUCUCGGGGCCGCGGGCUCUCCUGCCUCCCGCUCCCCGACACCGUUGUGUUGCUCCGGUGGGUGCCCUGGCAGCAGCUGCAGCUCCUCGGUGGAUGCAGGAGCGGGGGGGCGGGCAGCGCCGAACUGCUGCCAUUGGUUGCCGGUGAGGGCUGGUCUCCAGCCAAGGCCCCAGCUGCGCUCCGCCAGCGAUGCUCCCGCCGCAGGUGCACAGCAGCUCGGGACGUGCCCAGAGGCGGCGGGAAGGGACGAAGGUGGCGGAGAGGGGGAAGGGACUUUCGUGAUAGCAAGUUGGUGAGCCAGAAGCUGCAGCUUGCGCGCAUCAGGCUCCGGGAAAGGGGGCUUGACCCCCGGCCAUUCCCUCCGCCAUCUCGCUGGGCUCCGGGCUGGCCCGCCGCCUGCAGAGAGAGCUCCCCGUGGCAGGUGCCCAGCGAGCUGUCUGUGCGUUUCCACCGCGGGCAGCCCCGGGGAAACUCGCCCCCGGAGAUCUGCACCGAGCCAGCCUCCCUUGCUCCCCAGCGCUACCGCCACCGAGCGGGGCUGUUCCCACUGCCCUGGCCACGUGAGGAGCUGCUGCCGCUGGGGCCGGUGCCCGGGCUCGCUGUGGCACCCCUAGCCCUGCCUGUGCGUGUGUGGUGCUAGGCGGCGACGGCUGGAGCAAGCGCUCAGCUGAAUUAACAGAGUUGCCACCAGCUGCUCUUAGUUGCCUCAGCAGUAAAGGGGGCUGCUGCCUGAACAAGCCUCUUGGCCGAGGUGAUUCCCGGUAAGUGCAUUUCUUAAUGGUCGUUCCGGAGCGGAUGCGACUGGACCGUCGCUUUCUGGGCGGCUGGGGAAGG
This 1061-nucleotide long non-coding RNA is filed under the name Gopherus agassizii (Agassiz's desert tortoise). RNAcentral describes it as "lncRNA (ENSGAGG00000012358.1)". Lineage: Eukaryota; Metazoa; Chordata; Testudines; Testudinidae. The record is from RNAcentral.